UACAGAGGUCCCAAGCGUUGUUCGGAUUCACUGGGCGUAAAGGGUGCGUAGGCGGUCGGGUAAGUCUGAUGUGAAAUCUCACAGCUUAACUGUGAAACUGCAUUGGAUACUAUUCGGCUUGAGAGUUGGAGGAGGGACUGGAAUUCUUGGUGUAGCAGUGAAAUGCGUAGAUAUCAAGAGGAACACCAGUGGCGAAGGCGAGUCCCUGGACAACUUCUGACGCUGAGGCACGAAAGCUAGGGGAGCAAACAGG
Molecule: ribosomal RNA, 253 nt
Filed under: uncultured bacterium
Lineage: Bacteria
Description: partial 16S ribosomal RNA
Rfam family: Bacterial small subunit ribosomal RNA
Source: RNAcentral